This 4610-nucleotide long non-coding RNA is filed under the name Vigna radiata. RNAcentral describes it as "long non-coding RNA (VRAD_LNC008960)". The record is from RNAcentral. Lineage: Eukaryota; Viridiplantae; Streptophyta; Magnoliopsida; Fabales; Fabaceae.
AACUGUUUGAUUAAUUUUCUGAAAGAAAAUUACGUUUGCUAAAAAAGGGCAAAUUUCAUUUAAACUGUGACCGAACACGCUUUCUGCUCUCUUUGUUUUAAUUCCGCUGCGUUAUACUCUUCGAAAAAUACCCCCUCCGAUACCAACAAUUGGUAUCAGAGCUUUCUUUGAUAGUUUUUCAAAAUAUUUGCGAAUCACCAACCUCAAAUACUUUAUCAACUCUCUUUUGAUCUGCAUAUUUCUUCAUCCUCUCCUGAGCCUUGAGCAAAUUCAACUUUAAUUGAGCCAAAACAGCAUCUCUUUGUUGCAACAUGUCUUGGAUUGAAGGGGGAUCUAUUGAUGAGUAUUGGUACUUGAGAAGUGUAGGUGGAUCUCUGCAUAAACUAUCCUGAAAGGUGUCAUUUGAGUACUGUGAUGAUAUGAGGUGUUAUACCAAUAUUCAGCCCAAGGUAGAAAUUUAAGCCAAGCUUUAGGAGUUUCAUAAGUAAAGCAUCUCAAGUACAUUUCUAAGCAUUUGUUAACCACCUCAGAUUGCCCAUCCGAUUGAGGGUGAUAAGCAAUGCUAAGGUUCAAUGUUGUUCCACUUAGUUUAAGUAGAUGUUUCCAAAAAGAACUAGUGAAGAUCUUGUCCCUAUCUGACACAAUUGAACUUGGAAAUCCAUGCAAUUUUACCAUUGUGGAGAGAAACACUUCUGCCACCUUUUUGCUAUUGAAAUCAGACUUGAGUUGUGCAAAAUGAGCAUACUUGGAUAAUCGAUCAACAAUGACAAAAAUUACCGUAAAUCCCUCAGAUGGUGGUAACCCAACUAUGAAGUCCAUGGUGAUGUCUUCCCAAAUUUGAUGAGGAAUAGAUGAUGGUUGCAGCAAUCCCGCAGGUAAAGUUGAUGAGGUUUUUGCUUGUUGACAAACCCUGCACUGCUGUAUAAAAAUCGUGAUGUCCUUAUGCAUAUUCUUCCAAAAGAACUGAGCAGAAACACUUGCCAUCGUCCUCGCAAUCCCAGAGUGACCGCCUAGAGGGAAGGAAUGGUAUUCACCGAGAAUGUGGUCUUUGAUUGCUUGCUCACUUGGAACUACAAUUCGGUCUUUCCAAUAUAAUAUGCCAUCCAGCCAAGAAUAAUGAGAAUGGAUUAGUUUCCCUUGAGCACAAUCAGUAAUAAUGGGCUGCAACUUUGGAUUUAAAGGUAGGGCAACUUUUAUCUUUGGAAUUAGAUCACUAUGGACUAAGAACAAGCUAUGAAGAAUGACCUUGAAAGUGCAUCAGCAGCUAAAUUUUCCUUCCCGAGUUUAUAUUCAAUUGUGAAAUUAUAGCCCAAAAAUUUGUGCAACCAUGCCUGCUGCUCCAGGGUCUGCAAUGAUUGGUCCACGAGGGCUUUCAAACUCUUUUGAUCAGUGCGAAUUAUGAACUUGUGCCCCAACAGAUAAUGCCUAAACUUAGCAAUGACUUCUGUUAUAGCAUAAAAUUCACGUGUAUAAGCUGAUUGCUUGGCUAAUCUGGUAGAUAAUUUCUUUGAAAAGAAAGCAAUAGGGUGCUUGUCCUGGCUCAAGACUGCACCAAUUCCUGACCCCGAUGCGUCGGUCUCAAGCAUAAAUGGCUUAGAAAAGUCUGGUAAGGAAAGCACUGGUGCAGUGGUAAUGGCGUUUUUCAAUGCCAGAAAUGCAGUAGAUGCGUCAUUUGACCAUUUAAAGUUGUCCUUCUUUAAUAAAUUUGUUAAAGGAUUGACAAUUGUUGCAUAUCCUUUAAUAAACCUUCUAUAAUAGCCUGUAAGACCUAAGAACCCGCAGAGUUGUUUAAUAGUUUUUGGCACCGGCCAUUGCAACACAGCUUGAAUCUUAGUAUCUUCCAUUUGCACUCCUCCUCGACUAGAAACAAUAUGUCCCAAAUAAUCAAUUUGUUCCAGCCCAAAUGAACAUUUAGACAUUUUGGCAUACAACUCAUGAUCCUCAAGAAUUUGCAACACCUGCUGAUGUAAAUGGGUUGACCAUGAUGCACUAUAAACUAGGAUAUCAUCAAAGAACACCAAAAUUGACUUCCUCAAUAGCCCUUGGAAUAUGUCAUUCAUUAAAGUUUGAAAUGUUGCCGGAGCGUUUGUUAACCCGAAUGGCAUCACUAACCACUCAUAAUGGCCUUGAUGAGUUCUAAAGGCUGUUUUGUAUCUGUCUUCUUCAUUCACCAAGAUUUGAUGAUAUCCAGCCCUCAAAUCCAACUUCGAAAAAUACUGAGCGCCAAAUAAUUCAUCCAAAAACUCUUCUACCGUAGGAAUUGGAAAACUGUCCUUCACUGUGAUGCAAUUCAAAGCUCUAUAAUCCAUGCAAAAUCUCCAUGUCCCAUCUUUUUUUUUUACCAAAAUUAUUGGAGAAGAAAAAGGACUCGAACUUGGAACAAUUAUCCCUUCAUCCAACAUCUCUUUCACCAUGAUUUCUAUUUACUGUUUUUGACUGUGGGGAUAUUUAUAGGGUCGGACUUUCACUGUAGCUCUACCCUGGAGCAAGGGAAUUUUAUGAUCUUGAGAUCGUGGAGGAGGCAAUCCCACGAGUUUGGCAAAAAUUCCUUUAUAAGUAUGUAGCAGAUUGGUGGUCCACUGGUCUUGGGUCGUAAAAUUGGAACAUAGUUGCAGAGUGAAUAUUUCAGCAAUACUCUGCGUGUGGCUCAAUCUCUUCAAUUGAUGGAAUUGUGCUACCCUAAUAGGUUGUUAUUUUUCACCAACUAACGUCACCAACUUCUUAUCUUUGUAAAACUUAAUGGUCAAUGAUCUAUAAUAAGCAAUGUGUUGCCCUAAAGUAGCUAGCCAUGCUGCCCCCAAAACCAAAUCAGCACCAGAAACUGAGAGUAAAUAGACAGGUAAGCUGAGAAUCUGGCCCUGCACCUGUACUUGGAGCUCUGAAAUCUUGCCCUCAGUCGAUAAGGAAUUUCCAUUACCAACUAACACUUGAAGACCUGAAGCAGGUUCCACUAGUAACUUAAGAAAUUUGGCUAGAUUAGGUUGCAAGAAAUUAUCACUACUACCACUGUCGAGUAGUAUCUGAACAUCCUUUCCGGCAAUGGUUCCAGUAAACCGCAUUGUACCAGUACCCGCGGAUCCUUUUAGUGCAUUAAAGGAUAAAUGAUGUGCCAAUUCGUCUUCCAAGUUAACCACAACUUCCUCAAGUUCCUAUGCGUCCUUCUCCUCCUCUUCUAGCUGCAUAAUUAAGUAUUGUCGAUUUGGGCACCUAUGCGUGGCAGAGAACUUUUCAUCACAAGUGAAACAUAAGCCUCGCUCUCUUCGGGAUUGCAUUUCAGUAGGGGACAUCUUCUUUAUGGGGUUAUUCUUAAAAGAUGGAGUGGUAGGUUUGGUGUUUGGUGUAACCAAAAUGGGCUGUUGCACAGGGUUAGUGAAUGAUUGCUGGGAAUUGGUAGUACGAUACUGUCUAUGGUAACUCACGUACUGAGGUUUGGUUUUGACACUAUAUUUUUCUUCAAAUAAGCGGGCUAAUGCAAUGGCCUUUAAAAUAGAACUAGGGGUUUGAGCAAUGACCUUACGUUUUAUGUCAGGUUUAAGACCACUUACAAAACGGUCCAAUAGAGCUUCUGCGCUGACGCCAUAAAUUCUAUUAGCAAGGCUAGUAAAUUCAACAUAAUAAUCAUUUACAGAGCCUGUUUGUGUGAGUUUAAAAAGUGUGGCCCUCGGUGAAUCAAACGGAGAAGGACCAAACUCAAGUUCGAGUGACCUGACCAACGUAUUCCAGGAAAUAAUUGGACUGGUUCUCCGCAUCAUUUGAUACCACGGUACUACAUUCUUCUCAAAGUGGACUACUGCAAUCACAAUGCGUUGCUCAUCAGGAGUAUUAUAAUACUCGAAGAACUGCUCUGCACGGAAAAUCCAUUAAAGGACCUCAGAUCCGUCGAAUUUCGAAAAGUCCAGCUUCACGUUCCUCACUUGCAAGGGAUGUGUAAAACCCUGUGAGUCCCCCCCCCCCCCUUGAAUAUUAGCUUUAAAAUCUGCUAAUUAAUUUCUCAACUUUGUCAUCUCACGAGCGUGGUCACGAUCGCGUUUCUCCAAGAUUUCGAGAAUAUGCGAAAGCUCCGGUGAAGGUGUAUUCGUAGUCGCGGUGGAGGUGAUGAAAGCACCAAAUGUAACAGUGGAAAAUAACAGGGAAAUAAACUGUCAACGUAAUAAGGAUGAUUUAUUACGAAAACAAGGUCUGGCUCAGAUUGCACUUCCUAUGAGUUCAAAUGAGAUCAUAGGGAAUCAAUCUAAUUACAAGAAGCUUCAGCAAAACAAAAAUGGAAAGGAAAAAUUCACCAAUACAGUAUCACAACAAUGAAACGAAAAUUCCCAGAGAGAGAAGAAUAAUUUCCCAAUUCAUUGCCUCCCUCUCUCUUACCCACUCUCUGUUAUAUAACUAAUUCCCUUUCCACAGAUACCCUCUCAAACGUGCAUUUGGGUGCCUCACACGUUUCUCCUUUUCUACCAGUCAACUCCUUGAUGUGGUGACACCUGUCCUUGCAUGUUAACAAUUUUCUCGCAUCUUCAAUUUUCUUCUUGACUCUGUUCUCUCUGCAUUUUGCUCUUUAUUUUUGCAAUGUGACCCUCCUCCUCAUUUCUGCUUGUUACAGAGUCCACUACAGCUGC